This 1640-nucleotide long non-coding RNA is filed under the name Oncorhynchus kisutch (coho salmon). RNAcentral describes it as "lncRNA (ENSOKIG00005030098.1)". Lineage: Eukaryota; Metazoa; Chordata; Actinopteri; Salmoniformes; Salmonidae. The record is from RNAcentral.
CGACUGACUUGGUUUUUUAUACCUUAUUUAUGCACCACUUUAUUUCCUCAUGCCUUUUCUCCGUCUCUUCUCUCUCCUCUCCUUUUCUCCUCUCCAUCUCUCCUUCUCUUCUCUCUCCUCUUCUCCUCCCCUCCUCUCCGUCUGUCCUCCUCUCCUCUCCAUCUCUCCUACCUCCUCUCCAUCUCUUCUCUCCAUCUCUUCUCUCCUCUCCUUUUCUCCUCUCCUCCUCUCCUCCUCUCCAUCUCUCCUCCUCUCCAUCUCUCCUCCUCUCCUCCCCUUCUCUCCAUCUCUUCUCUCCUCCCCUUCUCUCCUCCUCUCCCUUUCUCCUCCCUCCUCUCCAUCUCUUCUCUGCUCUCCUUUUCUCCUCUCCGUCUCUCCUCCUCUCCAUCUCUCCUCCUCUCCUCCCCUUCUCUCCUCCUCUCCAUCUCUCCUCCUCUCCUCCCCUUCUCUCCUCCCCUUCUCCUCUCCUUUUCUCCAUCUCUUCUCUCCUUUUCUCCUCUCUGUCUCUCCUCCUCUCCAUCUCGCCUCCUCUCCUUUUCUCCUCCCCUCCUCUCCUUCUCUCCUCCUCUCCAUCUCUUCUCCUCCUCUCCUCUCCAUCUCUCCUCCUCUCCAUCUCUCCUCCUCUCCAUCUCUCCUCCUCUCCUUUUCUCCUCUCCUCCUCUCCAUCUCUCCUCCUCUCCAUCUCUUCUCCUCCUCUCCUCUCCAUCUCUCCUCCUCUCCAUCUCUUCUCCUCCUCUCCAUCUCUUCUCCUCCUCUCCUCUCCAUCUCUCCUCCUCUCCAUCUCUUCUCCUCCUCUCUUCUCCUCCUCUCUUCUCCUCCCCUCCUCUCCAUCUCUUCUCCUCCUCUCCUCCUCUCUUCUCCUCCUCUCCUCCUCUCCAUCUCUUCUCCUCCUCUCCUCCUCUCCUCCUCUCCAUCUCUCCUCCUCUCCUCUCCUCUCCUCUCCUCCUCUCUUCUCCUCCUCUCUUCUCCUCCUCUCCUCUCCAUCUCUCCUCCUCUCCUCUCCUCUCCUCUCCUCCUCUCCUCUCCUCCUCUCCAUCUCUCCUCCUCCUCUCCUCCUCUUCUCUCCUCUUCUCCUCCUCUCUUCUCCUCCUCUCCUCCUCUCCAUCUCUUCUCCUCCUCUCCUCCUCUCCCCUCCUCUCCUCCUCUCCAUCUCUCCUCCUCUCUUCUCCUCCUCUCUUCUCCUCCUCUCUUCUCCUCCUCUCCUCUCCACCUCUCCUCCUCUCCUCUCCUCCUCUCCUCUCCUCUUCUCCUCCUCCCCUCCUCUCCAUCUCUCCUCCCCUCUCCUCCUCUCCAUCUCUCCUCCUCUCUCCUCCUCUCCUCCUCUCCUCUCCAUCUCUCCUCCUCUCCUCUCCUCUCCUCUCCUCUCCUCUCCUCUCCUCUCCUCUCCUCUCCUCUCCUCUCCUCUCCUCUCCUCUCCUCUCCUCUCCUCUCCUCUCCACCUCUCCUCCUCUCCUCUCCUCUCCUCUCCUCCUCUCCUCUUCUCCUCCUCUCUUCUCCUCCUCCCCUCCUCUCCAUCUCUCCUCCCCUCUCCUCCUCUCCUCCUCUCCAUCUCUCCUCCUCUCUCCUCCUCUCCUCUCCUCUCCUCCUCUCCUCCUCUCCAUCUCUCCUCCUCCUCCCCAUGUUCCUUUCAUUCCGUUCUU